This 497-nucleotide ribosomal RNA is filed under the name uncultured bacterium. Its description in RNAcentral is "partial 16S ribosomal RNA". It matches the Rfam family "Bacterial small subunit ribosomal RNA", at positions 28 to 507 of the family's 1533-position model. The record is from RNAcentral.
GAUGAACGCUGGCGGCGUGCCUAAUACAUGCAAGUCGAGCGAACAGACGAGGAGCUUGCUCCUCUGACGUUAGCGGCGGACGGGUGAGUAACACGUGGAUAACCUACCUAUAAAACUGGGAUAACUUCGGGAAACCGGCGCUAAUACCGGAUAAUAUAUUGAACCGCAUGGUUCAAUAGUGAAAGACGGUUUUGCUGUCACUUAUAGAUGGAUCCGCGCCGCAUUAGCUAGUUGGUAAGGUAACGGCUUACCAAGGCAACGAUGCGUAGCCGACCUGAGAGGGUGAUCGGCCACACUGGAACUGAGACACGGUCCAGACUCCUACGGGAGGCAGCAGUAGGGAAUCUUCCGCAAUGGGCGAAAGCCUGACGGAGCAACGCCGCGUGAGUGAUGAAGGUCUUCGGAUCGUAAAACUCUGUUAUUAGGGAAGAACAAAUGUGUAAGUAACUAUGCACUUCUUGACGGUACCUAAUCAGAAAGCCACGGCUAACUACGUG